RNAcentral lists this ribosomal RNA (200 nucleotides) under uncultured bacterium. RNAcentral's name for it is "partial 16S ribosomal RNA". It matches the Rfam family "Bacterial small subunit ribosomal RNA", at positions 1301 to 1500 of the family's 1533-position model. The record is from RNAcentral.
UAGGCUGCAACUCGCCUACAUGAAGUUGGAAUCGCUAGUAAUCGCGAAUCAGAAUGUCGCGGUGAAUACGUUCCCGGGUCUUGUACACACCGCCCGUCACACCACGAGAGUUUACAACACCCGAAGUCAGUGGCCUAACCGCAAGGAGGGAGCUGCCUAAGGUGGGGUAGAUGAUUGGGGUGAAGUCGUAACAAGGUAAC